AUCCUUUUCUGGUUCAUGAGCAUGAUGAUUGAAUGGGUAUUCACACCAUUGUGUGGUAUGUGCCUCCUUUAAACCUUUUUAUGGCACAUUUCCCUUCUGAUG
Small nucleolar RNA from Talpa occidentalis (Iberian mole), 102 nucleotides. RefSeq annotates it as small nucleolar RNA U13. Lineage: Eukaryota; Metazoa; Chordata; Mammalia; Eulipotyphla; Talpidae. The transcript has a single exon. The record is from RefSeq and is a predicted model, not a curated record.